RNAcentral lists this ribosomal RNA (498 nucleotides) under uncultured bacterium. RNAcentral's name for it is "partial 16S ribosomal RNA". It matches the Rfam family "Bacterial small subunit ribosomal RNA", at positions 30 to 523 of the family's 1533-position model. The record is from RNAcentral.
AUUGAACGCUGGCGGCAUGCCUUACACAUGCAAGUCGAACGGCAGCGCGGGAGCAAUCCUGGCGGCGAGUGGCGAACGGGUGAGUAAAGCAUCGGAACGUGCCCUGAAGUGGGGGAUAACGUAGCGAAAGUUACGCUAAUACCGCAUAUUCUGUGAGCAGGAAAGCAGGGGAUCUUCGGACCUUGUGCUUUAGGAGCGGCCGAUGUCGGAUUAGCUAGUUGGUGAGGUAAAGGCUCACCAAGGCGACGAUCCGUAGCGGGUCUGAGAGGAUGAUCCGCCACACUGGGACUGAGACACGGCCCAGACUCCUACGGGAGGCAGCAGUGGGGAAUUUUGGACAAUGGGCGCAAGCCUGAUCCAGCCAUGCCGCGUGAGUGAAGAAGGCCUUCGGGUUGUAAAGCUCUUUCGGCGGGGAAGAAAUUGCUUCGGCUAAUAUCCGGAGUAGAUGACGGUACCCGCAUAAAAAGUACCGGCUAACUACGUGCCAGCCGCCGGUAA